Molecule: long non-coding RNA, 2130 nt
Organism: Dreissena polymorpha
Lineage: Eukaryota; Metazoa; Mollusca; Bivalvia; Myida; Dreissenidae
Exons: 6
Source: RefSeq, a predicted model, not a curated record
GAAUGCUAAAAAUAGUCAAUACAUACAGUAUUUAUACUUGUUUAUUGUACACAGAAUACAAAUUAAUCUGACGCAUUAUGGCGGUACUUGACGUAAUAUUUGAUAAAGCGGCAGACAAAUGACGUAAGGUAUUGACUGAUCAAUAUGCAAACUGUACUUAAGGGGUGUUGCGGCAGUUUAUUGAACCGAGCGUAAAUUUAUGGCCACACCGCUUGCUAUUAUCACGACCCGAUAUUUUAUUUGCACGUGAUAAAUAUUCGGAUUUCGGAUAUGAAACCGCGUUCAUCAUUCUAUACAUAGAUGGUGACGUCACUACGUUAUUAUCAGUAAGACCGGUGUGACACAAUGCCGCGUUCAUAUUUUUUGAGUUUGACGUCACGUCCGGUUGACAAAAACCAGUUUAACAAUUAAGAGAAAAUUAUUUUAAUAAUAUUAUUUUUAAAUGGUUUUUUGAAAGUAGAAGUUGGUUAAAUUGAGUGAAUUAACAGAAAUAAAUGACCAGUGAGCCAAAUAUAACUAAAACGUGUAGGAAAUCUGAAUUCGACCGGAAAAAAGCGAGUGACAGAAAACAGCUGUUCAAGACAUCCGGUGAGAGGUCAAGGACGAAGCCGUAAAUAUUACUUACAUGCAGUAAAAAGACAGUUUAUAAUCAGAGAAGAGAAGUUGCAGUAAGGGAUGGUGCAUUCUGGUAUUGGAUUGACCCAUAUCAACAACUUCAUGAGUUCAAUUGAGGUCCCUACAAUCCACCAUAAAACAUUGAAGAAUGUUGAGUGAAAGGUUGGUCAGCACAUAGUUUCGGUUGCAAGGACAUCCUGUAGCAAGGCAUUACAAGAAGAGGAAAUUGAAAUAGGAAGGAGCUUGUGUACAAACGCUACUAGCACCACUUCCUCACACACUGAUGCUACAUCAGAGGAGUUCAGCUUCAGACAUGCCGCCCUUGAAAAUGAUGGUUUAGCACUGCAAGAUGUCACCGCAGAAGGUAUCUUGACAGACGCUACUAGUACCACUUCCUCACACACUAUUGCUACAUCAGAGGAGUUCAGCUUCAGACAUGCUUUCCUUGAACAUGAUGGUUUAGCACUGCACGAAGCGGGUGCAGCUGAAACCUCACCCCAUCCAGAACAUGCAUAUUCAAGGGAUCUUACGAAAGGCCGCCUUGCAGGGCAAUUCAAGUAUGACAUGGGAUGGCAGAAAAGAGGCUCAGGGAGAUGCUUUGACAGCAAAUCAGGCGUGGGAACGAUGAUAGGAAACUUGAAGGGCAAAAUCUGUGCAUAUGGUAUUCGCUCCAAAAGUUGUUAGAAAUGUGACUACCAUAUAGCUAAGGGCAGUAGUGUUCCUGAGCAUAAAUGUAAUAGAAAUUGGGCAGGGAGCUCAAAAGCAAUGUAGCCGGAUGUUGCAGGAGAUCUCGUUCAAGAGAUUGAAAUGAAAAAUGUUGAUGUAGGUGUUCUUAUAAUGGAUGAUGACUGUACUACAUUAGCCAGGGUGCGUAAAGAUCUUUCACACCCUGUAGAAAAAUGGAGUGACCAAAAUCACACAGUUAAGCAUAUUGGAAACAGCUUGUAUCUCUUACAGAAGAAACAUAAAGUGCUUUCUGUAAUGGUCAUUAAACACAUUCAAAAAUGUUUCAACUAAGCGUUAGCCCAAAACAAAGGUGAUGUUGUCAAAUUUACAUUGGCUCUGAAACAAAUAAUUCCCCACCUGUUUGGAGAUCAUGAAAAUUGUGGAGAAUGGUGUGGUUUUAAUAAAAAUCCUAACACUUAUAAACAUAGAGGUUUGCCUUAUGGUAAACCUUUGUUUGGAGAAAUCUUGAGGUCAGAUUUAGAAGCUGUGAUUAAUGUAGUGGUCCAGAAUGCUUCUAAGAUAGCGCCAGGUGCAUCUACAAGGGACGUUGAGUCUUUCAACUGUAUGGUAGCUACAAAAGCUCCAAAAAGGAGUCACUUCUCUGUCUCAGAAAGUCUUUUGAUAAGAACUAGUUUUGCUGUGGCACAAAAUAUAUUGGAGCUUCGUAUGUGAACACAGUUAAUAAAAGUAUAGGGAUCUCGCCUGGAAAAUUAUUUAAACUUCAUGCUGCAAAGCAAAACAAACUUCAAAAACGAAGAAUUGAAAUAUCGAACAGUGUUGUAUACAAGA